RNAcentral lists this ribosomal RNA (492 nucleotides) under uncultured bacterium. RNAcentral's name for it is "partial 16S ribosomal RNA". It matches the Rfam family "Bacterial small subunit ribosomal RNA", at positions 29 to 507 of the family's 1533-position model. The record is from RNAcentral.
AGUGAACGCUGGCGGUAGGCCUAACACAUGCGAGUCGAACGGCAGCACAGUAAGAGCUUGCUCUUACGGGUGGCGAGUGGCGGACGGGUGAGGAAUACAUCGGAAUCUACUUUUUCGUGGGGGAUAACGUAGGGAAACUUACGCUAAUACCGCAUACGACCUACGGGUUAAAGCAGGGGAUCUUCGGACCUUGCGCGAUUGAAUGAGCCGAUGUCGGAUUAGCUAGUUGGCGGGGUAAAGGCCCACCAAGGCGACGAUCCGUAGCUGGUCUGAGAGGAUGAUCAGCCACACUGGAACUGAGACACGGUCCAGACUCCUACGGGAGGCAGCAGUGGGGAAUAUUGGACAAUGGGCGCAAGCCUGAUCCAGCCAUACCGCGUGGGUGAAGAAGGCCUUCGGGUUGUAAAGCCCUUUUGUUGGGAAAGAAAAGCAGCAGGUUAAUACCCCGCUGUUCUGACGGUACCCAAAGAAUAAGCACCGGCUAACUUCGUG